Molecule: ribosomal RNA, 497 nt
Filed under: uncultured bacterium
Lineage: Bacteria
Description: partial 16S ribosomal RNA
Rfam family: Bacterial small subunit ribosomal RNA
Source: RNAcentral
GAUGAACGCUGGCGGCGUGCCUAAUACAUGCAAGUCGAGCGAACAGACGAGGAGCUUGCUCCUCUGACGUUAGCGGCGGACGGGUGAGUAACACGUGGAUAACCUACCUAUAAGACUGGGAUAACUUCGGGAAACCGGAGCUAAUACCGGAUAAUAUAUUGAACCGCAUGGUUCAAUAGUGAAAGACGGUUUUGCUGUCACUUAUAGAUGGAUCCGCGCCGCAUUAGCUAGUUGGUAAGGUAACGGCUUACCAAGGCAACGAUGCGUAGCCGACCUGAGAGGGUGAUCGGCCACACUGGAACUGAGACAAGGUCCAGACUCAUACGGGAGGCAGCAGUAGGGAAUCUUCCGCAAUGGGCGAAAGCCUGACGGAGCAAAGCCGCGUGAGUGAUGAAGGUCUUCGGAUCGUAAAACUCUGUUAUUAGGGAAGAACAAAUGUGUAAGUAACUAUGCACGUCUUGACGGUACCUAAUCAGAAAGCCACGGCUAACUACGUG